RNAcentral lists this ribosomal RNA (447 nucleotides) under uncultured bacterium. Its description in RNAcentral is "partial 16S ribosomal RNA". It matches the Rfam family "Bacterial small subunit ribosomal RNA", at positions 29 to 523 of the family's 1533-position model. The record is from RNAcentral.
AGCGAACGCUGGCGGCAGGCUUAACACAUGCAAGUCGAACGCCCCGCAAGGGGAGUGGCAGACGGGUGAGUAACACGUGGGAACGUACCCUUUGGUUCGGAAUAACUUGGGGAAACUCAAGCUAAUACCGGAUAAGCCCUUCUGGGGCAAGGUUUACUGCCGAAGGAUCGGCCCGCGUCUGAUUAGCUAGUUGGUGAGGUAACGGCUCACCAAGGCAACGAUCAGUAGCUGGUCUGAGAGGAUGAUCAGUCACACUGGGACUGAGACACGGCCCAGACUCCUACGGGAGGCAGCAGUGGGGAAUAUUGGACAAUGGGGGCAACCCGGAUCCAGCCAUGCCGCGUGAGUGAUGAAGGCCUUAGGGUUGUAAAGCUCUUUUACCCGGGACGAUAAUGACUGUACCGGGAGAAUAAGCCCCGGCUAACUUCGUGCCAGCAGCCGCCGUAA